AGUGAACGCUGGCGGUAGGCCUAACACAUGCAAGUCGAACGGCAGCACAGUAAGAGCUUGCUCUUCCGGGUGGCGAGUGGCGGACGGGUGAGGAAUACAUCGGAAUCUACUUUUUCGUGGGGGAUAACGUAGGGAAACUUACGCUAAUACCGCAUACGACCUACGGGGGAAAGCAGGGGAUCUUCGGACCUUGCGCGAUUGAAUGAGCCGAUGUCGGAUUAGCUAGUUGGCGGGGUAAAGGCCCACCAAGGCGACGAUCCGUAGCUGGUCUGAGAGGAUGAUCAGCCACACUGGAACUGAGACACGGUCCAGACUCCUACGGGAGGCAGCAGUGGGGAAUAUUGGACAAUGGGCGCAAGCCUGAUCCAGCCAUACCGCGUGGGUGAAGAAGGCCUUCGGGUUGUAAAGCCCUUUUGUUGGGAAAGAAAAGCAGCAGGUUAAUACCCCGCUGUUCUGACGGUACCCAAAGAAUAAGCACCGGCUAACUUCGUG
RNAcentral lists this ribosomal RNA (492 nucleotides) under uncultured bacterium. Its description in RNAcentral is "partial 16S ribosomal RNA". It matches the Rfam family "Bacterial small subunit ribosomal RNA", at positions 29 to 507 of the family's 1533-position model. The record is from RNAcentral.